CCCUUAGAUGUUCUGGGCCGCUCGCGCGCUACACUGACGAAUGCAACGAGCUUAUAACCUUGGCCGAAAGGUCUGGGUAAUCUCCAAAUUUCGUCGUGAUGGGGAUAGAUUAUUGCAAUUAUUAAUCUUCAACGAGGAAUGCCUAGUAAGCGCAAGUCAUCAGCUUGCGUUGAUUACGUCCCUGCCCUUUGUACACACCGCCCGUCGCUCCUACCGAUUGAAUGGUCCGGUGAAGCGUUCGGACCGUGGCCUUUGGACGGUUCGCCGUCUGUUGGCUGCGGGAAGUUCGUUAAACCUUAUCAUUUAGAGGAAGGAGAAGUCGUAACA
Molecule: ribosomal RNA, 327 nt
Filed under: uncultured eukaryote
Lineage: Eukaryota
Description: partial 18S ribosomal RNA
Rfam family: Eukaryotic small subunit ribosomal RNA
Source: RNAcentral